This 74-nucleotide transfer RNA is filed under the name Marmota monax (woodchuck). Its description in RNAcentral is "tRNA.Ala". Lineage: Eukaryota; Metazoa; Chordata; Mammalia; Rodentia; Sciuridae. The record is from RNAcentral.
CUGGAGUUGUAGCUCAGGGGUAGAGUGCUUGCCUAGCACAUACAAAGGCCCUGGGUUCAAUCCUCAGUACUAGA